AACUUUGUCCAAAAGUUUCCACCGCAAUAGACAGUACGACAGUCGAGACCGGAGCUCUUGCGUUUGGGAUUGUUUUAAUUCUAGUUGAGAGCUUCAAACCACUCGUUUCUAGCCGUGAUAAGCGUGUGGAUAGAUAAAUUCUUGGUGCCUUUUAAGAACUCGAAUGGAUAAUUCACAUGAGAUUCGAGUGUCAGAGGGUCCCAACAUUU
This 209-nucleotide small nucleolar RNA is filed under the name Lachancea fermentati. Lineage: Eukaryota; Fungi; Ascomycota; Saccharomycetes; Saccharomycetales; Saccharomycetaceae. The record is from RNAcentral.